CCUACGGGUGGCAGCAGUCGAGAAUCUUUCACAAUGGUGGAAACCCUGAUGGUGCGACGCCGCGUGAGGGAAUGAAGUUCUUCGGAUUGUAAACCCCUGUCAUGUGGGAGCAAAUUCAAAAGAUAGUACCACAAGAGGAAUAGACGGCUAACUCUGUUCCAGCAACCGCGGUCAUACAGAGGUCUCAAGCGUUGUUCAGAAUCACUGGGCGUAAAGCGUGCGUAGGCUGUUUCGUAAGUCGUGUGUGAAAGGCGCGGGCUCAACCCGCGGGCGGCACAUGAUACUGCGAGACUAGAGUAAUGGAGGAGUAAGCGGAAUUCGCGGUGUAGCAGUGAAAUGCGUAGAUAUCGAGAGGAACACUAGUGGCGAAGGCGGCUUCCUGGACAGUAACUGACGCUGAGGCACGAAGGCCAGGGGAGCGAAAGGGAUUAGAUACCCUUGUAGUC
RNAcentral lists this ribosomal RNA (446 nucleotides) under uncultured bacterium. RNAcentral describes it as "partial 16S ribosomal RNA". It matches the Rfam family "Bacterial small subunit ribosomal RNA", at positions 338 to 795 of the family's 1533-position model. The record is from RNAcentral.